GCCCCGGGAGUCUCCAGAGCAGCGCGCGGGGCAGACCUCCUCGGGUCCUCCGGCGCUUCGGUCUCCGGAGACGCCCGGCCUCCUGAAGGGUUCGGCUUGUCCUCCUCUGGCGCUCAGCUCCCUCUGGCGGCCGGGCUGGCAGGACCUCAGCGCCCAGCCCUUCCGUCUUGUUACGUCCAGGGUCUCACUCUGUGUCUCAGGCUGGAGUACAGUGGUGCAAUUGUAGAUGGCUGCAGCCCUCGACCUCCUGGGCUCAAGUGAUCCUCCUGCCUUAGCCUCUCGAGUAGCUGGGAGUACAGAUGCACACCACCACACCCAGCCUAGAAUGAAGAAACCUGCAGUUGGGAAGCAUGAAUUUACCACCUAUUAAGGAACUGGUGAAGAUUUCCCCAGCAAAAAGUAGAAGCUCAGUGUUUCAUAGAUGAAGACUGGGGAGAUUGCAAAAGACCCAUCCAGCAGUGGUUCUCAGACCUCAGUGUGCAUCAGAAUCACCUGGAAGGCUUGUGAAAACACGUAUUGCUGGGCCACACCCCCAGAAUUUCUGGAUCAGUAAAGCUGGGAUUCUUACUUUGAGUAGCCAACUUGCAGAAUACAAUAGAAUUUUGGGAGGAGCCCCUCGAUGCCUGGCUUUACUGUUGGAGAGACAGUACAGUAUACACCAGAUGACUUAUUUGUGAACCAUGGAAACGUUUGGAAAAGGACUGUUUCUGCCAUGCGUGUUACUCAUUGCCAUGGUGCUUAUGACAGUGAAGGAAAGAGUCUCACUUUGUCGCCCAGGCUGGAGUACAGUGGUGCGAUCUUGGCUCUCUGCAACCUCUGCCUCCCAGGUUCAAGUAAUUCUCCUGCCUCAGCCUCCCGAGUAGCUGGUACUACAGGCACACAUUUGUAGAGAUGGUGUUUCCCCAUGUCAUCCAGGCUGGUCUGGAACUCCUGGGAUCAAGUAAUCCACCCGCCUCGGCCUCCCAAAGUGCUGGGAUUACAGACGUGAGCCACCACGCCCUGCCAAUAAAAAGAUUAUCUCCAGAUGCUGGAAUGACCAGUAAUUUAUUUUCUUCCUUUUUUUUUGUCUGCACUUUCUACCAUAAUCAUAUGUUAGCUUCUUACUAAGAAGAAAAGUCAAUGUUAUUUCCCUGAAAAAGUAAUGUUGUUUGGUUAUUAAACAAAUUUAAUUUUCUAAACAAGAGUACGACAGGUAAACUGCCUACCUUAAAAGCAAACGAACACAAAUAAAUAAACUAACCAUCUUCCACUUC
This 1253-nucleotide long non-coding RNA is filed under the name Homo sapiens (human). Its description in RNAcentral is "long intergenic non-protein coding RNA 466". Lineage: Eukaryota; Metazoa; Chordata; Mammalia; Primates; Hominidae. The record is from RNAcentral.